This 253-nucleotide ribosomal RNA is filed under the name uncultured bacterium. RNAcentral's name for it is "partial 16S ribosomal RNA". It matches the Rfam family "Bacterial small subunit ribosomal RNA", at positions 524 to 776 of the family's 1533-position model. The record is from RNAcentral.
CACGUAGGGGGCGAGCGUUGUCCGGAAUUAUUGGGCGUAAAGAGCUCGUAGGCGGUUUGUUGCGUCGGCUGUGAAAUCCCGAGGCUCAACCUCGGGUCUGCAGUCGAUACGAGCAAACUAGAGUGUUGCAGGGGAGACUGGAAUUCCUGGUGUAGCGGUGAAAUGCGCAGAUAUCAGGAGGAACACCGGUGGCGAAGGCGGGUCUCUGGGCAACAACUGACGCUGAGGAGCGAAAGCGUGGGGAGCGAACAGG